AUUGAACGCUGGCGGCAUGCCUUACACAUGCAAGUCGAACGGCGGCGGACCUUCGGGUGCCGGCGAGUGGCGAACGGGUGAGUAAUAUAUCGGAACGUACCUUUCAGUGGGGGAUAACGUAGCGAAAGUUACGCUAAUACCGCAUAUUCUGUGAGCAGGAAAGCAGGGGAUCGCAAGACCUUGCGCUGAUUGAGCGGCCGAUAUCAGAUUAGCUAGUUGGUGAGGUAAAGGCUCACCAAGGCGACGAUCUGUAGCGGGUCUGAGAGGAUGAUCCGCCACACUGGAACUGAGACACGGUCCAGACUCCUACGGGAGGCAGCAGUGGGGAAUUUUGGACAAUGGGCGCAAGCCUGAUCCAGCCAUGCCGCGUGAGUGAAGAAGGCCUCGGUUGUAAGACUCUUACGGCCGGGAAGAAUACGACACAGGUUAAUACCUCGUGUGGAGUGACGGUACCGGAAUAAGAAG
This 465-nucleotide ribosomal RNA is filed under the name uncultured bacterium. RNAcentral describes it as "bacterial SSU rRNA". It matches the Rfam family "Bacterial small subunit ribosomal RNA", at positions 30 to 490 of the family's 1533-position model. The record is from RNAcentral.